CGCUCCGGAGAAGCUCUCAUCGGGUGCCGAAGGUGCAAGGCGUGUUUUUUUACGCUUAAUCUCUCAGGCAAAAGGACGGAGUU
RNAcentral lists this non-coding RNA (83 nucleotides) under human gut metagenome. Its description in RNAcentral is "Glycine riboswitch". It matches the Rfam family "Glycine riboswitch aptamer", at positions 9 to 86 of the family's 94-position model. From Rfam's summary of the family: This family represents the bacterial glycine riboswitch. Glycine riboswitches usually consist of two metabolite-binding aptamers domains with similar structures in tandem. The aptamers cooperatively bind glycine to regulate the expression of downstream genes. The record is from RNAcentral.